Molecule: ribosomal RNA, 274 nt
Filed under: uncultured bacterium
Lineage: Bacteria
Description: partial 16S ribosomal RNA
Rfam family: Bacterial small subunit ribosomal RNA
Source: RNAcentral
AUACUGAGGGUGCAAGCGUUAAUCGGAAUUACUGGGCGUAAAGCGAGUGUAGGCGGCUAUGUAAGUCGGAUGUGAAAGCCCUGGGCUCAACCUGGGAAUGCCAUUCGAAACUGCGUAGCUAGAGUCUAAGAGAGGGAAGUGGAAUUCCAGGUGUAGCGGUGAAAUGCGUAGAGAUCUGGAGGAACAUCAGUGGCGAAGGCGGCUUCCUGGCUUAAGACUGACGCUGAGGCUCGAAAGCGUGGGGAGCAAACAGGAUUAGAUACCCCAGUAGUCC